Molecule: ribosomal RNA, 254 nt
Filed under: uncultured bacterium
Lineage: Bacteria
Description: partial 16S ribosomal RNA
Rfam family: Bacterial small subunit ribosomal RNA
Source: RNAcentral
UACGAACCGUGCGAACGUUAUUCGGAAUCACUGGGCUUAAAGCGCGUGUAGGCGGGUCGCCACGUCGGAUGUUGAAAUCCCCCGGCUCAACCGGGGAAUAGGCACCGAAACGAGCGGCCUGGAGGGGAGUAGGGGGACCUGGAACUUCCGGUGGAGCGGUGAAAUGCGUUGAGAUCGGAAGGAACGCCCGUGGCGAAAGCGAGGUCCUGGGCUCUUACUGACGCUGAGACGCGAAAGCCAGGGGAGCGAACGGG